AGGGAUACAUACCGAUUCCGAGCACCGGCCGCGCCCGCCUGGCGGCUGCUCGCCACGUUUUGUUAGCC
RNAcentral lists this small RNA (68 nucleotides) under Xanthomonas oryzae. Its description in RNAcentral is "sX9". It matches the Rfam family "Xanthomonas sRNA sX9". Lineage: Bacteria; Pseudomonadati; Pseudomonadota; Gammaproteobacteria; Lysobacterales; Lysobacteraceae. The record is from RNAcentral.